AGCAGCCGCGGUAAUUCCAGCUCCAAUAGCGUAUAUUAAAGUUGUUGCAGUUAAAAAGCUCGUAGUUGAAUUUCGGGAUCAAUAUAUUGGUCGUGCUUUCGGUAUGUACUGGUAUUAUUGGUUUCUACCUUCUGACGAACUAUGAUGUCAUUAAUUUGGUGUCAUAGGGAAUCAGGACUGUUACUUUGAAAAAAUUAGAGUGUUUAAAGUAGGCAC
This 216-nucleotide ribosomal RNA is filed under the name uncultured Glomus. RNAcentral's name for it is "partial small subunit ribosomal RNA". It matches the Rfam family "Eukaryotic small subunit ribosomal RNA", at positions 569 to 787 of the family's 1831-position model. Lineage: Eukaryota; Fungi; Glomeromycota; Glomeromycetes; Glomerales; Glomeraceae. The record is from RNAcentral.